This 1183-nucleotide long non-coding RNA is filed under the name Monodelphis domestica (gray short-tailed opossum). RNAcentral describes it as "lncRNA (ENSMODG00000045829.1)". The record is from RNAcentral. Lineage: Eukaryota; Metazoa; Chordata; Mammalia; Didelphimorphia; Didelphidae.
CCCCUUUCACAGCCACCUACCUCACGAGUCCACAAUGGGGCCUCCAACAAGGGACUGAGAACAAGGGUCAUAGCUUUCCUUCUGGGCCGAUAGUCUCAGCUCAGUGCAUUUGCCACCCCCUAACCUGUUCCCAGCUUAUCUUAGGAUGAUCAGAAUCUCUCCUGCCAGGCUUUCUGCACAAGGUCACCUACAUGUUCCAGUGGUUGCUCCUAGCCUUGUGUACCCCCUGCCCAGGAAUGGAAAAAAAAAUAUUUUAAAGAGCCAGUCUUACCUGUUUUCCAUCUUCCACCACUGAGGACAGAACAGGAAAAUCAAAGAAUCACCCAUCAGAGCUGUGAUAGUCAAGGACCACCCCAUACCUGAGCAAGAACUCCCUUUAUGACAUAUUUGACAAGUGAGCUUUCAGGCUCCAGUGAAGUCUCCCCCUCUGGGCCAGCACAUUCCACUUGGUGAUAAGUUGUCAUUGUUAGAAUGAUGCUCCCUUACACGGAGUCUAAAUUUGUCUCUCUGUCACUUGUCAGUCAGUUGACAAGCAUUUAUAAAGCAAUUACUAGGACCUGUGCUAAGUGCCAGGAAUACAAAGAAAGACAGAAACAUGGGCCUUCACCUGGAGGAGUUUAUGCUAUGAUGGGAGAGAUCUACAACAGGCAAAGAAAGUUUGAUUCACUCUUCACAUUGGCAAGCAGGAUAGUAUGACCAGCUAGCCUGGCAUGGAAGCCCUGAGAAGCCAGGAUACCUGAGAUCCAAGACUGAAGGGAAUUUUGGACUUGGAACUGGGAAUGUACCCUAUGAGAAUUGGGCAAAGACAUGAAUCUCAUCCUUUUCCUGUUCCCAGAGAUUGAGGUGGUGCAAAGAGGAAGAGAUUAUGCCUCUCAUGGUGAGAGAGUAAGUUUAUAUAUUUUUAUUAUAUAUUGUCCAAAGUAAAUAUUUCUGCUUAAAAGUUAAUUAUGACCAUAAGUAGCUAAACGGAGUUAGGAUACAGAGGCCCACCACUACAACUGGGGAAACACCAUCAGUGGAAGGACAGAGACAUUUGCUUACUACCCAAAUCCCCUUAAGAUUACUGGACAAUCUAAGGAAGGAAUGAACUAAAACAUAUCUGGCCUUAAGGCAAUGGGGCCAAGAUGGUCCUGUCUUAUAGAAGUUUUAAUUGAAACUGCUUCCAUGUAUUGUUAUUGGGGCA